Molecule: long non-coding RNA, 824 nt
Filed under: Numida meleagris (helmeted guineafowl)
Lineage: Eukaryota; Metazoa; Chordata; Aves; Galliformes; Numididae
Description: lncRNA (ENSNMEG00000013997.1)
Source: RNAcentral
AAUUAUUUAGGCAAAGCAAGAAAACAGAACUCAAAUAUGCAGUUCAACCUUCAUGGCUACGGCUGUCUGGGACUCUCCUCCAGUUCAGACAUGAUCAGAUCAGAAGCAAUCUAGGAGUUAAAUUUGAUAGUCAGCUUGCUGGAUUACCUCAGCUGAAAGCAAUUUUACAGUGUCAACUGGAAGGUUCUUCUCUAAUGGUUGGAGAUCCUGCUGGGAAUAAACAGGAGUUUUGUUUCCAUUUUAUUCUUUCUCUACAGUUUGGCUGCAGGGAAACUUGCCUGCAAAGCCCCAGAGCAAGUGGAAGAAGCAGACUGGGAGUGAGAUGCCCCGAGCUGGUUCCAAUUUGUCCUGCCUGUGCACUACCUGGAUUGCCACCAGAUUUCUAGAAAGCACGAAGGUCUCUUGUGGCAGCCUCUUUUCCCCACUGCCUACCCCACGUGGAGCCUGGAGAGCUGGGAUCUGACAUGCCGCUUCCCCGUAGCCUUUGCACUUCUGUAAGAUUCUGUUGUGCUGGUUGGUGCCUCAUAAGCAUGUAAGAAAAAGGGAAAAAAAAGAGAUUUCAAUUCUAUAUGAAACAUAAUAGAAUAAUUAAAUCUCAUGCUGCCAAGGCAAUGUGUACAUAACCAUAGGCUGUCACUCGCAUUUCACUGUUGCUUAAGAAUGAUUAAGUAGAGCAAAUUAGCUAAGGUUUGUUAACGGAUUUUGUUAUAGAUUUCUGUACAAUAUGAAUGCAAAUCAACAUAAACGGAUGCCAAGGAACUAGAAACAAUGCGGCUCCUGUGUCGGCUUGUGAGGUUAUCCUUCAUUUUAGUUUUAGAUAUGGG